Molecule: long non-coding RNA, 1041 nt
Organism: Candoia aspera
Lineage: Eukaryota; Metazoa; Chordata; Lepidosauria; Squamata; Candoiidae
Exons: 3
Source: RefSeq, a predicted model, not a curated record
GAGGUUGUCAGUGAAUAGAGAGAUGGUGAUUCUUUUGGAUGUCUAGAAAUGGCAUAAAGAGAUGCCUAGAGUGCUGCUGGAGGAAGAAAAAAGAGUGAGGCUGACCAAGCUCAGCUAAGAGUUUUAUUAGGACUUACCUUGCAGUGAGAAGGGUGGUGAAGCAAUCGUACUUCUCUGUUCUUAUUGUGUCUGCAGACUGCCACCCAGUGACCAUGUUUCAAGUGACCAGGUCCCUCCUGGGUAAGGAGAGCUGGUGCAGGGCCAGUGUGAGGAAUAUUUCCAGCAUUUGUUAGACAAAGUCACUUGGCUUCCUCUGGAGUUGGAUGCUGGCUGGGCAGGCCCUUUGGAGGUGACUCAGAUGCAUCUGAGCUCUGUUAUCUGGGAGGAGUUUGAGCCAGUUGAUCUGAGGAAGUGGACAGGAUCCUCACAGCUGUGAGCUCAAACACCUGUGUUCCUGGAACCUCUAGUACUAGAAUAUGAGUUAGAUUAGCACUCUCAUUAUUUCCAAAUCAGAAAGCUAUAGGAAUUUGUGGAAUAUCUACAGAAAUAUGGCAUACAACCUGAGAAGACUCAGUAAAGGUUCUCACCAAAGUAUGCCAGCAAAUCUGGAGAAUGAAACAAUGGCCAACAGAUUGGAAGAGGUCAGUCCACAAACCAAUAACAAAGAAUGGAGAAUUAAAAGAUUGUGUAAGCCAUUGCACAAUAUCUUACAUUUCACGUGCUAUCAAAAUAAUGCUUAGGAUCAUCCAACACAAAUUAGAGCCCCACAUGCAAGGAAAAAUGCCAGAUGUUAAGAUGGUUUUGGAAAAAGGCCAAAGAAAGGCAAAGGAGUGAGAGAAGACUGCAUACUCUCUCCUUAUUCAUUCAACCUAUACAAUGAAUAUAUGUUGAGAGAAGCUGGAUUGGAAGAAGAUGAGCGUGGUUUUAAAAUUAGAGGCAGAAAUAUCAAUAACCUGCAGUACGCUGAUGACACUACUCUGAUAACUGAAAAUGCAAAUGAUCUGCAAGCUCUAUUAAUGAAAGUCAAAGAGCACAGUGAAA